CUCCUUCUUCUUCUUCUUCUUCUACUCUCCGUCACAGUUCCAUUAUUGGCACCCGUCUUCCUUCCAUCUUCUUGCGCAACCCCACUAUCCGCAUUCGCUCCACAACCCCUUCAAUUAAAGCCUUCUCUGCACCCGUUCCUUCACCUUUAACCCAAGAUGAACUUAAGAAACUAGCAGCCGAUAAGGCCGUUGAGUAUGUCAAAAGUGGAAUGGUCCUUGGUUUAGGCACUGGGUCAACAGCAGCUUUCGUUGUCGCUAAAUUGGGUGAGCUUCUUUCAUCGGGCCAACUCACGAACAUUGUAGGAGUUCCCACUUCAAAGCGUACUGAAGAACAAGCUUUGUCGCUUAACAUCCCGUUAUCUACACUUGACGACCACCCACAUAUUGAUCUUGCUAUUGAUGGUGCUGAUGAGGUCGACCCGAAUCUCGACCUAGUCAAGGGUCGAGGAGGAGCUCUUUUAAGGGAGAAGAUGGUGGAGGCCGCGUCUGAUAAGUUUGUUGUUGUGGUCGAUGAUUCGAAGCUUGUUUCGGGUCUUGGUGGAUCCGGGUUGGCUAUGCCGGUUGAGGUCGUGCAGUUUUGUUGGAAGUACAAUUUGGUUAGGUUACAGGAAUUGUUUAAGGAAGAGGGUGUUGAUGCAAAGUUGAGAUUGGAUGGUAAUGGGAAGCCAUAUGUGACCGAUAACUCGAAUUAUAUUGUGGAUUUGUAUUUCAAGACUCCUAUUAGGGAUUCUGCUGCUGCUGGGAAGGAGAUUGCGUCUUUCGAAGGGGUGGUGGAGCAUGGAUUGUUCUUGGAUAUGACCACUGCUGUUAUCAUUGCUGGGAAGGAAGGUGUCAGUGUCAAGAGCAAGUGAAAUAUUCACCAAUUUUAGCUCCCAACUGGUGAGGUCUGAACAACUUUAACUUCUGUUUUGAGUGGAAUUUUUAGACUUCAUUUUCGUAUCGAGGAAAUAGGAGUUGAUUGUUGUAACAUUAAUAAGUUUUUGCAUUUUUUUUGGAGAUGUUUAGCAAUAAUACUCCCGUCUGAAUGUAAUUUGUAUAUUAG
Molecule: unclassified non-coding RNA, 1042 nt
Filed under: Hevea brasiliensis (rubber tree)
Lineage: Eukaryota; Viridiplantae; Streptophyta; Magnoliopsida; Malpighiales; Euphorbiaceae
Source: RNAcentral